This 5107-nucleotide long non-coding RNA is filed under the name Gossypium barbadense (sea-island cotton). RNAcentral describes it as "long non-coding RNA (GBAR_LNC004901)". Lineage: Eukaryota; Viridiplantae; Streptophyta; Magnoliopsida; Malvales; Malvaceae. The record is from RNAcentral.
AAAUUUGUAUUACUGACCCUCAAAAAAAAAUUGCAUUAGUGAAUGAGCUUGAGCCCUUUUAUACAUUGAGAUGCGAAAUAUAUGUCAUAGCAUACACGUUUUCAAACAGUUCUGAUCAUUUUUUGCAAGUUGGCGUUUCAUAUAAUUUCGUUAUGCUUUCACUGCUGUAGAAUCAUCAUUAUUUGGGUUUAUUAGGUAUGCAUAGUGUUAGUCCGUAGCUCUUUCAGCACAACAAUUAUGGAAAAGCACAUAAAAUAUUGUGGUAAUGUCUGUCUUUAUUGUCAUGCGAGAUGUUUCUAUACAUAUAGUUGAUGGUCAUUAAAUACUUGGUUAAAAAUUUGAACAUUUCUUAGAGAGUUUAUGAUGAAUAAAUGGUUUGUAUGCAUGAGUUUCAUGUGGAGAUUUGCUACAUGGCUACAUAUAUCUAGCGUUCAGUUCCUUUUUGCUAGCUAAAGUACAAUUCAAUGAAACUAAUCAUUUUGCUUUUCGUUGAAGUUCUGUUGAAGUAGAAGGUAGGUGAUACGAGUCACAAAAGCCCAAAUUCUUGAAGGCGAGGCCCAAUAAGCAAAUUCCCAGCCCAAUCAAGAAAUCCAUCCAUACUUAGUUGAAAAUCAGGCCAAAUUGUCAAAGUGGCCCAAGUUGUAAAGUUUUAUUUUUAUUUUUAUUUAUUUAUUUAUUUAUUUACUUAGUUUAAAUUUUUAUGUCAAUAUUCAGUCCAAGAGUCUCAGAUAAAAUGACCUUUGACCGAAUUUCCAUAUUAAAAUAAUUAGGAGUUUUUUUUUAUUUUAGUUUUCUAAUUAGAUUAGGACUAGUUAUAAGGCCUAUUUAAAGGCAUGACUGUCCACCUUGUUAAACACUUAUCAUUAUUAUUAAAAUUUCAGAUUUGUUGAGAGCAGAAUUUUCUUUGAGUUUUCUCCAAGAUUUCUCUCUUGAGUUUUCUUUAGAAGUUGUUUUAACAAUCUUGUGAUUGUGGGAGCCAUCUUCAACCUUCUUCUUGCCAUUGAUAUUCUUUGGAGGGGAGAUUAGAGCCGUUUGAAGGGAGUUGUGAGAUCUUUCGAGAUUUCAAGGCUUCUUAGGACUUAUCUUUUAAUUUCUUACUGUCAAUUCUUUCUUUAUUUCUACUUGUGCUGAAUCAUUAUCUAAUCUAUUUUCUGUUCUUAUUGUGUUUUCAGCCUUUUUCUAUCUUAAGGAAUCAGCCCAAAAAUCCCCAAUUUCUAGGGUUUUUCCAUACUCUUUUUUGGGUGAAAUUAGAUUGUCGAAAUUUGGGGAAAACUAUCUUGGUGUUCAAUUGGGCAGAAUCACAAUCUCCUUGAGGGUUUCAAGAACCCUAACACUUAUUUCUAUUCUCAAUUUGAUUCUUUGCUGAUUUGGGGAUUUUAUUUUAGAUCUGAAAAUUCAAAAAUCUAAUCUUUUAAUUUUCUGUUUCGUUUCAGAUCUAAUUGUUUAGGGUUUUCGUAGGAGUUUCUCGUGACUUGGCAACUCGAUCUUGGUCCGCGCGCAACCCCGUAUCAUUUGGUAUCAGAUUUUGGGCGUUUUGGGUGUUCUUGGUUGAUUUCUAAACUGAUCUCUAUUUUUUAAAUUACAAACAGCAGUUUUACCCAGAAAAAUUUUCGAAAAAAAUUCAUUUGAGUGGGUAAACGUUUUCUGAUUGAUCUGAAAUUUUACAUACAUAUUUUUGGCACUGUUAUUGAAUAUACAAAAAUAUUUCCCGCAAAAAAAAUAAGUCGAAAAAGUCAAAAAAUUGAAAAAAGACGAAAUCUAAUAAAAAAUUAAAAAAAUAUUCAGCGGGUUGAAUUUGGUGCCCAAAUUUUCCAGAUCAAAAAUUAAAUAUAUAAGGACACUCUAGAUUUAAUUUCGUGAUUUUUGGAGAUCGGGAACACCUCGAACGAAGUUGUCAAAUUACUCCGCAGUUUUUCGGGUUUUCUGUUUUCAGCAAUUUUUAUUGAUUCUUAGCUGUAGGUUUUCAUUUGUUUACCUUUAUUCUUCCUUUACGUUAUCUAACACCUUCUUGUUUCUUGUGUUAGUAGGAUUUAAACGUAUGCACAACUUCUUCCUCGGUGCAACACGAAUCAAUUGGUGUCUCGUCAGUUUUUGGCAUCCUAGUGCAAAUUAGGAUUCUUUGGUAGUUUGGUUCACACUCUCUAAUUGGUUGAUAUAAACUCUGAUAAAGAACUCACAAGAUUGAAUUCGACCUCAUUGAGAAUUUGAAUUUUCUUUUUGAGUGAUUAAUGGUGAGGUUUGCUAACUUUUAUUUUUGAGUGUUGAGUGUUUAUUUUUUACAGGUUUUGAAGAUGUCUAAAGGUGAUAAUAAUGAUGCACUUAUGAAAGUCCAACAACAGUUAGAUGGACAUACUGCUGCAAUCACACAAAUAAAUGCUACACUUCAAGCAUUGAAUACUACUUUGAAUGAGGUACGAGUGAAUCAAAAACAUCAAUAUCGAGAUCCAAUUAAGGAAGAUAGGGAUAACCAACCCCAAAGGCGCGGCCCUCGACGUGUCACUAGAAUGGAUGAUGAUUUUCAUGAUCGUAGACAAUCAUCUUUGGCAAAACCAAGGAGCGAGCAGCAACGAGAACAUCUCUUUCAUACUCGCUGCCAUGUACAAGGUAAGCUUUGUAGAGUUAUUAUUGAUGGUGAAAGUUGCUCGAACAUAGCCAGCACGACGAUGGUGGAAAAGCUUUGCUUAACCACUACCAAGCAUCCACAACCUUAUCAACUACAAGGGCUUAGCAACGAAGGCCAAUUUAGGGUCACUCAACAAGUGCGCAUUGCCUUUUCUAUCGGUAAGUAUCAAGACGAAGUUGUGUGCGACGUAAUGCCUAUUCAAGCCUGCCAUUUGUUGCUAGGAGAACCAUGGCAACUGGAUCGAAAAGUCACUCACGAUGGUCGUACCAAUAGGUAUUCUUUCAAGCAUCAAGGAAAGAAACUUACCUUAGUGCCGCUCACUCCGGAACAAGUCCAUGAGGACCAAAUCAAACUAAGAAAUUCUGUUAAAACAAGUGAGGAAAAAGAAAAAGAGAAUGAAAAAGAGCAAAAAGAGAUUGAGAGUGAAAAGGAAUGUGAAACAGAAAAGAAAAUUGAAAAAGAAGUUGAAGAAAGAAGAGAAAAUGAGUUAGAAAAAGAAACAAAAGAAAAAGACGAGGAAAGGCUAGUGAGGAAUGUUUCCACUAACCAAGAUAUGAAUUUUUCUUGUGUUGCUACUUUUCAGGUUCCCGAAAGAUCGAAAGAUAACUUUCAACUUCAAUACCUCUCAAAUGAAAGACGCUUUCAUACGAUCAACUUAAGCAAAGAUGAAAUCACACUACAUGAUCCCGAAGGUAAGCGAGGUAAGGAAAUUUUAGAAACCGAGUCCAUUGCAGAUUUGAAAAUUAUUGAUAAAACUUUUGGUGACUUAGUUCUUAAAAUAUCCCCUCAUUUUGAUCCGAUUAAUUGUUACUCUUCGAUUGUGGUUGAUAAAGUCAUUACGAAAAGAAGCGUGAUUUGUUAUUCUCUUGAUUUACCUUGUGUAAAAUCCUCGAAUUUGUCCAAAUCUGUUUUCGAGAAUAAGGUAACGAAAUUUUCCAAAUUUGUUUUCAAUUUAUAUUCGUGCCUUAAACAGUUUAUGUGGUUGUACAUGAAGUUUGAGUUCCAUUUGACAAAGGUUAACUCAACAACGGAGAUUCGACUACACUAUGCCCCCGAUGAGCGAAAGUUUGUUUUAAAUGAAAAAGGUAAAAUCAACCCUUAUUCUUCUGCUUAUCGAGGUAAGAUGCUUGAAACCUUUGAAACACUUUUGUACUCCUUGGAUAGUGAUAAAGAUCGUGUUGAUGAACACUUAGAUCGAAACGUGCUUGACUGUCCUAUUUUAUUUAUUGAUGAUCUAUCUGUUUUGAUGAUUGAUAAAAAGAUUCUUGUUUUUGAUAAUGCAUGUGUGAGUGAAUCUAUAGACCGUCGAUUAAUGCAUGGUAUGAUUAUGCAACUCUGUGAACCAUGUGAAUCUUUUCAAAUACCUACUUGUGACGAUUAUGUUUACCAUUUGAUUUAUUACUCGCAAUUUAUUCAUGGUUUGUGGGAACAAUGUGAGACGACUGAAUGCCUUAAAACAUGUCCAUCUUUGUUUCAAAUAUUUGACGAGGCAGUGGUGAGUAAAUUAGAUUGUUUGCAUGGUAAUCUGAAUCUGUCCAUUCACAUACGUUAUACCUGUUCUGUUAUGCUUAUGAUUGGACUACAAGCUUGUUUCCGUUGCUAUUUACUAUCUCAUGGCUAUUCUUUUCAGUGGACUCAAUUGCCAUUAGUCCCGUUCGAUAGAGGAAAGUCGAGUUCAUUUGAUUUUUCAGAUUCGAGGACGAAUCUUUUUGAGGAAGGGGGGAAUGAUACGAGUCACAAAAGCCCAAAUUCUUGAAGGCGAGGCCCAAUAAGCAAAUUCCCAGCCCAAUCAAGAAAUCCAUCCAUACUUAGUUGAAAAUCAGGCCAAAUUGUCAAAGUGGCCCAAGUUGUAAAGUUUUAUUUUUAUUUUUAUUUAUUUAUUUAUUUAUUUACUUAGUUUAAAUUUUUAUGUCAAUAUUCAGUCCAAGAGUCUCAGAUAAAAUGACCUUUGACCGAAUUUCCAUAUUAAAAUAAUUAGGAGUUUUUUUUUAUUUUAGUUUUCUAAUUAGAUUAGGACUAGUUAUAAGGCCUAUUUAAAGGCAUGACUGUCCACCUUGUUAAACACUUAUCAUUAUUAUUAAAAUUUCAGAUUUGUUGAGAGCAGAAUUUUCUUUGAGUUUUCUCCAAGAUUUCUCUCUUGAGUUUUCUUUAGAAGUUGUUUUAACAAUCUUGUGAUUGUGGGAGCCAUCUUCAACCUUCUUCUUGCCAUUGAUAUUCUUUGGAGGGGAGAUUAGAGCCGUUUGAAGGGAGUUGUGAGAUCUUUCGAGAUUUCAAGGCUUCUUAGGACUUAUCUUUUAAUUUCUUACUGUCAAUUCUUUCUUUAUUUCUACUUGUGCUGAAUCAUUAUCUAAUCUAUUUUCUGUUCUUAUUGUGUUUUCAGCCUUUUUCUAUCUUAAGGAAUCAGCCCAAAAAUCCCCAAUUUCUAGGGUUUUUCCAUACUCUUUUUUGGGUGAAAUUAGAUUGUCGAAAUUUGGGGAAAACUAU